ACACGGAGGGUGCGAGCGUUGUUCGGAAUCACUGGGCGUAAAGCGGGUGUAGGCGGUCUAGCAAGUCAGAUGUGAAAGUCCAGGGCUCAACCCUGGAAGUGCAUCUGAAACUGUUAGACUUGAGUACUGGAGAGGGAAGUGGAAUUCCUGGUGUAGGGGUGAAAUCCGUAGAUAUCAGGAGGAACACCGGUGGCGAAGGCGACUUCCUGGACAGAUACUGGCGCUCAGACCCGAAAGCGUGGGGAGCAAACAGGAUUAGAAACCCGAGUAGUCC
This 274-nucleotide ribosomal RNA is filed under the name uncultured bacterium. RNAcentral describes it as "partial 16S ribosomal RNA". It matches the Rfam family "Bacterial small subunit ribosomal RNA", at positions 523 to 796 of the family's 1533-position model. The record is from RNAcentral.